RNAcentral lists this ribosomal RNA (2008 nucleotides) under Sphyranura oligorchis. RNAcentral's name for it is "SSU rRNA". It matches the Rfam family "Eukaryotic small subunit ribosomal RNA". The record is from RNAcentral. Lineage: Eukaryota; Metazoa; Platyhelminthes; Monogenea; Polystomatidea; Sphyranuridae.
UCAUAUGCUUGUCUCAAAGAUUAAGCCAUGCAUGCCUAAGUAUAAGCUCUUGCACAGUGAAACCACGAAUGGCUCAUUAAAUCAGCUAUUGUUCAUUAGAUCAUACCCGUUACAUGGAUAACUGUAGUAAUUCUAGAGCUAAUACAUGCCUUGAUGCCGUGACCCGUGAGGGAAUCGGUGCACUUAUUAGAACAAGACCAACCGGGUGACCAUGCUUUCGGGUGUGGCUGCCUGUUGUGUCGUGUUGACUCUGGAUAAUUACGACAGAUCGCAAUCGGCCUUGUUGUCGGCGACAAUUCUUUCAAAUGUCUGCCCUAUCAACUUACGAUGGUAGGCGACCUGCCUACCAUGGUGAUAACGGGUAACGGGGAAUCAGGGUUCGAUUCCGGAGAGGGAGCCUGAGAAACGGCUACCACAUCCAAGGAAGGCAGCAGGCGCGCAAAUUACCCACUCCCGGCACGGGGAGGUGGUGACGAAAAAUAACGAUGCGGGACUCGUACGAGGCUCCGUAAUCGGAAUGAGUACACUCUAAAUCCUUUAACGAGGAUCAAUUGGAGGGCAAGUCUGGUGCCAGCAGCCGCGGUAAUUCCAGCUCCAAUAGCGUAUAUUAAAGUUGCUGCAGUUAAAAAGUUCGUAGUUGRAUCUUGACGGCACUGCUGCGUGUUUUAGUCUCGCCUAUUUGUUGUUUUGUUGCACGUUAAUUCGUCUUCAAUUACAUGAGUAUGGUGUGCACUYGGACAUGUUGGCGGUGUAGUCUUUCAGCCGUGUCUGUUGCCCAUGUGCUUGUAACGAGUGCAUGGGUGCAGGUACUGAUGGUCAGGAGGGAUAAUCCCAAAUUUCCGUUGGUACGUCUCGGGAUGCUCUUAAUUGAGCCGUUUCGAGUGCGGACGGCAUGUUUACUUUGAACAAAUUUGAGUGCUCAAAGCAGGCCCACGUGCCUGAAAAGUCUUGCAUGGAAUAAUGGAAUAGGACUUCGGUUCUAUUUUGUUGGUUUUCGGUUCCGAAGUAAUGGUUAAGAGAGACAGACGGGGGCAUUUGUAUGGCGGUGUUAGAGGUGAAAUUCAUGGAUCGCCGCCAGACAACCUGAAGCGAAAGCAUUUGCCAGGAAUGUUUUCAUUGACAAAGAGCGAAAGUCAGAGGUUCGAAGACGAUCAGAUACCGUCCUAGUUCUGACCAUAAACGAUGCCAACUGACGAUCCGCGGAGGUUGUACAUAUCGUCCCCGCGGGCAGUCUCCGGGAAACCUGUAAGUCUUUGGGUUCCGGGGGAAGUAUGGUUGCAAAGCUGAAACUUAAAGGAAUUGACGGAAGGGCACCACCAGGAGUGGAGCCUGCGGCUUAAUUUGACUCAACACGGGAAAACUCACCCGGCCCGGACACUGUGAGGAUUGACAGAUUGAUAGCUCUUUCUUGAUCCAGUGGUUGGUGGUGCAUGGCCGUUCUUAGUUGGUGGAGCGAUUUGUCUGGUUAAUUCCGAUAACGAACGAGACUCUGGCCUGCUAAAUAGUACAUCUGUAAUUCGUGUCUGCUUAAAGUCUCUUGUCUGCAGAUGCCUUUAACGAGGUGUUUGUAUGGCAGGUUUCUUUGGUGGUCGCUGUGCAGAUGAAACUUCUUAGAGGGACAAGCUUCCUAAAUAGCACGAAAUUAAGCAAUAACAGGUCUGUAAUNCCCUUAGAUGUCCGGGGCCGCACNNNNNCUACAAUGACAGUACCAGUGUGUAUGAAGACCUUGCCUGAGAAGCUUUGGCAAACCGGUCCAUUACUGUCGUGACAGGGAUCGGGGUUUGUAAUUAUCCCCCGUGAACGAGGAAUUCCCAGUAAGUGCAAGUCAUAAGCUUGUGCUGAUUACGUCCCUGCCCUUUGUACACACCGCCCGUCGCUACUACCGAUUGAAUGGUUUGGCAAGGCUUCGGAUUGGCACCAGUGUUUUGGAUUUGUCAGUGUAAACUGGCAAGUCUAUUCAACGGGAGCUGAGAAGAGGACCAAACUUGAUCAUUUAGAGGAAGUAAAA